ACGGAAGGCAGCAGUGAGGAAUAUUGGUCAAUGGACGCAAGUCUGAACCAGCCAUGCCGCGUGCAGGAAUAAGGCCCUAUGGGUCGUAAACUGCUUUUGUGGUGGAGCAAUAAGUCGUACGUGUACGGCGAUGAGAGUACAUCACGAAUAAGCAUCGGCUAACUCCGUGCCAGCAGCCGCGGUAAUACGGAGGAUGCAAGCGUUAUCCGGAUUUAUUGGGUUUAAAGGGUGCGUAGGCUGUGGUCCAAGUCAGGGGUGAAAGCCCGGAGCUCAACUCCGGAACUGCCUUUGAUACUGGAUUGCUGAAAUACGGAUGCCGUGGGAGGAAUGAGUAGUGUAGCGGUGAAAUGCAUAGAUAUUACUCAGAACACCGAUUGCGAAGGCAUCUCACGAAUCCGUCAUUGACGCUGAGGCACGAAAGCGUGGGGAUCAAACAGGAUUAGAUACCCUGGUA
Molecule: ribosomal RNA, 454 nt
Filed under: uncultured Rikenellaceae bacterium
Lineage: Bacteria; Pseudomonadati; Bacteroidota; Bacteroidia; Bacteroidales; Rikenellaceae
Description: partial 16S ribosomal RNA
Rfam family: Bacterial small subunit ribosomal RNA
Source: RNAcentral